CAAGAUCCAACCCAUCGCGUCAAUUCGACAGGGCUACCGUUUUCAUCCACGUACGGGGCGAUCAUCGUCGCACAAGCAAGAGAGCAGACGUAUGGCGGCGACGGCGACCGCAACGGGGGCAUUGCGUCGGGUGCUGCUGCCGGCGAUCAGGCGGCGACUCACCACCGCUACCGGGCAGCCCCUCAUCUCCUUCACCGACGCCCGCGCCGGCACCACCAAGGUUGGCGUCCGUCCGUCCGUCCACCGACAUGGAUUAUUUCAGAGGGAUGAACUAUUUAGGAAACCUUUUGCUCGCGAUCCAUUGCAAUCGUUUCUUACGUCCGUGGGAAUUUCAAAAUUUUGCAGGCUCAUCAGGCGGAGGUUGCUGCGCGUCGGCUGCUCAGGAAGUACGCCUCUUGCUUCCCUGCCAUCGGCCAGCACUUUACUGAGAAAGCACACAUGUGAUCUUUCAUUUGAUCCAUCGCUGACAAAUAAUGGUGUUAUUCUUCCUCGUGCAGGCAAAAGCUGCGGGAAGAUGGACUGAGCGGUAUGUUUAACCAGGUCGGGGUGUGGUCGAUGCUCACGGGCGCGGCCCCCUUUGCGUUGGUGUACGGUUGGUACCUUCUCAGAAGGGACAGCAAACCUCAAGAUUGCUCUCAUCAGGGUGGUUACGGCCCGGCAAUAUCUUCGAUAUAUGAGAGCUAGCUAGGUCAGCUCGAACUCGGGCUCGAUAUAGGGUCAGUACUCGGUAUGGAUUAUUUAGUCGAGCACGGCCAGUGCCUAGCUAUGUUGGACGCACUGAGAUCACACAAGAGGAGUGGAGGCAGUGGUUAAAGGAAAAGAACCAUGGUCGGUGUUAUAUAGAUAGAACUAGAUCAUUGUUGGCGCGUGUUGCUGCGCCCGUCUAUUUUAAAGUUUUCUUGACAAAGAGAUUUAUAAUUUCUUUUUAUAUAUAAUGAAGACAAGA
RNAcentral lists this long non-coding RNA (946 nucleotides) under Hordeum vulgare. Its description in RNAcentral is "long non-coding RNA (HVUL_LNC014686)". Lineage: Eukaryota; Viridiplantae; Streptophyta; Magnoliopsida; Poales; Poaceae. The record is from RNAcentral.